AAAAAAUUCAAUGUCGGCUGCGGGAUAUGUAUAACGGUCUUCUACGCAUCCUCCACUCACAUGCUUUCGAAAUGCCGUACUCCUUCGAUCUCUACUGUCCAUUUCAAGCGACACUUAUCUUCUUCACCAAACCUCCCUCAAAAGACCCCCCAAUUACGCACCUUGAGGCCGAAACUGAAUCCAUCUCUCACAUCGAGUACACUAGUAAACUCGGCACUGCAUUCCGAGUCGACUCGCUUCUUCUCUCACGCCCUCAAAAUCUCAGCCAAAAUGGGUCUCCUUCACGAAGGGAAACAACUACAUUCACACAUAAUAAAAUUAGGAUUGAAUAAUGUACUGUCUUUGGAAGUACAAAUGCUAAAUUUAUACGUUAAAUGCAAGCAUUUAUUAUCGGGCGCUGAGAAAUUGUUCGAUGAAAUGCGUCUGCGAAACUUGGUGACGUGGAAUACAAUGAUUUGUAACUCGAGUCUUUAUCUGGGUUGUUCUUAUUUUAAGAAAAUGUUGAUAAACAACGUAGGUUUUGAUCAUAUAACUUUGAACGCUUUGCUACGUGCUUCCACUGUGCUAAAUGAUGUCGUUUUUGGUAGAGAAUUGCAUUGUUUUAUAGUGAAGUUGGGGUUUUUAUUUGAUUGUUUUGUGAGCAGUGCUCUUGUUGAUUUAUAUGGGAAAUGUGGUUUAGUUGAAGAAGCGAGAUGGGUUUUCGAUCAAGUGUUUUGUAGAGAUUUGGUGUUGUGGAAUGUGAUCCUUUCUUCUUAUGUUUGGAAUUCUUUAACAGAAGAGGCUUUUGAGGUUUUUGAUCUGAUGAGGACGGAAGGUGUUAAAGGGGAUGGUUAUACGUUUUGUUCUUUGCUUAAUUCUUGCGGUAGUUGGGGAUUUUAUGAGCUGGGGAGGCAGGUUCAUGAUCUCAUUAUUAAACUUUGUUUUGAUUUAGACGUUCCUGUGGCAAGUGCACUUGUUGAUAUGUAUGUAAAGAGUGGAAAUCUAUAUGAUGCCCGAAAAGCUUUUGAUGGGAUGACUGCUAGAAAUGUUGUGUCUUGGAAUACUAUGAUUGUAGGUUAUGGGCAGUAUGGAGGUGUGGAGAAGGCUAUGGAACUCCUUAGAGAAAUGAGGCUACAAAAUUUCUGUCCAGAUGAACUAACUAUGGCAAGCAUACUUCGCUCAUGUGGUAUUUUAUCCGCCUCUGGUGAAAUGGGGCAAGUCCACGCUUAUGUGGUUAAAAAUGGGUUUGAGUCCAUUUUAUCAGUUGCAAAUGCUUUAAUAAAUGCAUACUCCAAGUGUGGUAGCAUUGAUGGUGCAUUUCAAUGUUUUCUUUCAGUUGCAAAGCCUGACCUUGUUACAUGGACAUCAAUUAUAGCUGCUUAUUCAUUCCAUGGUCUUUCAAAAGAAAGUAUUAUAGUUUUUGAGAAAAUGUUAGCUACUGGUGUAAAGCCAGAUCAAAUUGCCUUUCUUGGUAUUCUUUCUGCCUGUAGCCAUGGAGGGCUGUUGAAUGAGGGGCUUCAUUAUUUCAAUAUAAUGAUGAAUGACUAUCAAAUCGUUCCAGAUUCAGAGCACUAUACUUGUCUCGUUGAUCUGCUCGGUCGAUUUGGUCUUCUUGAUGAGGCUUUUGAUGUCUUAACAUCUCAUCCCAUUGCAUGUACACCGGACACCUUGGGAGCAUUCAUAGGGGCAUGUAACAUCCAUGGCAACAUAACAUUGGCCAAGUGGGCAGCAGAAGAGCUUGUUGUCUUGGAGCCGAACAAACCUGAGAAUUAUACUCUUAUCUCUAACAUUUAUGCUUCUAAAGGGAGAUGGUUAGAUGUGGAAAGUGUCAGAAAAAUGAUGAAAGACCAUUGUGAUUACAAAAUUCCUGGUUGUAGCUGGAUGGAGAUUGCUGGUGAUGUUAAUGUGUUUGCCUCAAGUGAUAAAUCUCAUCCUAAAACUUUAGACAUGUGCACUAUAUUAUCUGGUCUAAUGAAGCAGGAAUAUAGCAUUUUGACUGCCAAGGAUACGUGCUUCAGCAAUAUGGAUGAGCGUGCUCUUUAAAUCAUUUUCUUAUCAUUUUGCGGUAAGGAUUGCCCACUCUAAAUGAAUCUGCAUGUUCCAUUAACGUGAAACUUUAGAUUCGCCCCUGCAUAUCGAACUUUCUAAAUUGCUGACACUACAUAACAGAGAAUUUACAUGGCUGCAUCAAUUCUACUUCUCUGCAUCUUUUUUAUUUAUUGUUUGCUACUAAAUGUUGGUCACCAACUAACCUUCAAGUAAUUGAGCUCUAUGAGAAAAUCACCAUAAUCUAUGAUAAACUAGAAUAAGAACAUUGUCAAAUAUUUGCUGACUUUAUCAUCAUGGCUAGUUUGUGGUUGUAAGACUGGUUUCAUCUUGCUAGGCCAAGUUGGGCUGUACAGGUCAAGGUUUGAACUGAAUUCCUGUACAGUUGACAAACAAAAAAUAAAUCUCACCAUAUGCAGUUGGCAAACCAAGCUUUCGCUGACUUAGCUGAAAUGGGAUCUGGCAUGAUCUACUUAUGAGUCAACAAAUCUUUCUAUGGUAUGAUUUCGAAUCAUCUAUUUAGAAAUGUGUUUCAUAUGGCAUUUUUUGUCCAAUUGAUGAACAAUUUUAUGCUGAUUGAUAAGUGCCAAUGGUUUUUUACCAUUAUGGAAUUGAACGAAUACAUCUGUUUAAGUUUUGUAUAUGGUUUAGUAGUGUCUAGUAGUAGUCUAUUUACUAUGUGUCAUCUAACAGAGGUGCUGAUUGAAAGGUUUACUUGAAAGUCUGGUAACUUUCAACUAACUAGAGAACUCUGUCGAUCUUCCAUCUAACUCUACCACAAAUCAUUGGUUUAAACCCUGACAAUCUUCAUCCUAACUGCAGAACAGAGAUGAUUGACUUCUAAUCUAAGGGGAAAUGCCUUACUCCUACUAGAAUUGAGGAACAAUUAAUGCUUUCCUUUUCUACGUAGUAUGUUUGUGAAGAGUUGUUGCUUGCAAGUAGCUGUGCACAGGAAAUUGCGGGAAGGAGGGCUGAAGAGCUUCAAGAUCUCCAGAGAAUUAUUAUUUGACACGGUUGCUUGGAUGAAAACUGAAUAUUUAUCCUCCAGGUGGUCUGGGUCUUGUGGUGACUUGUUACUUCUAGUGAUAAAGGUAUGCUUCCCGGUCACAAUGACAACAACAUGCAUUGGAAGAACAUGGAUUGGACUUCUGGAUAUGGAAGUUCUAUACGCAUGGUGUGAAGGGUUGAGAUUUAAAAGAACUAGCAAGAUUGCAGGCCAGUCUCAGAAAUGUCUAAAGUCCAUUAUUAUUACCAUCUGGCCUUGCAGAUAACGAUCUGUGUUGAUGAACAUGCAUCCCCCUUUCUGGAUUGAUGAAAACCAUUUACACCAGCCAGCAGUUUAAAGCUCAAUGUACGGUUGGAUGAGAAUGUUGUUGAUGUUGUUUGUGUUAUGUCGUGCUGCCUUAUAUCUGCAGACAUGAAGUGGAAGGUAUUCUAUCUAUGUCAAUGCGGUUUAAGUAGUGGGUCAGCUUGGGCUAGGACACCUCAACCUCCAUUUUUGAUCCAAGGUUGCUGUUUUCAGCUAGUAGUUGUUUGCAAGAAUCCUUGAUGGAACCUACCAUUAUACUUCUUUGUAGUUCAGUGUUUUGGUGGGCAAACUUAGAUUGAUUCCGACAUUUGACUUGAUCGACCUUAUUUUUCGGCAUAGCCAAGUAGUUGUUAUUGGCCGUCGCCAUUAACUGACACUCGUCAAUUAACGUUUACCCGUUGUUGUCUUUUGUUUUGUUUAGCAUG
Non-coding RNA from Durio zibethinus, 3759 nucleotides. The record is from RefSeq and is a predicted model, not a curated record. Lineage: Eukaryota; Viridiplantae; Streptophyta; Magnoliopsida; Malvales; Malvaceae.